AUAUAAUUAACUUUAAUAACGUUUCUAUACUCUGUUUCUCAAGCUGUGAGAGCCUUUUUUAUGAAACAGAGUUAUUCAACUUUUGGGUUAGUUUCACUCAACCAAAGAGUUGUAGGUUUUAUCAUUUAAUGGAGAAUGAACUAAUCCAACUUUUAUCUAUUUGUUGAUGUAGAAUUUCCUCAAUUAUUUCUUUUGCUAAUCGUAAUUAUUAUAGAAAAAUUAACAAAUAUAAGAAGUGAUUAAAAAAAACACUGAACAAA
This 260-nucleotide small RNA is filed under the name Arabidopsis thaliana (thale cress). Its description in RNAcentral is "ATSL070540". Lineage: Eukaryota; Viridiplantae; Streptophyta; Magnoliopsida; Brassicales; Brassicaceae. The record is from RNAcentral.